Long non-coding RNA from Mandrillus leucophaeus (drill), 408 nucleotides. RefSeq lists it as uncharacterized. Lineage: Eukaryota; Metazoa; Chordata; Mammalia; Primates; Cercopithecidae. The record is from RefSeq and is a predicted model, not a curated record. The transcript has 2 exons.
GGGUGAAAAAGAUACAGUAAAGAGAUAAAUACAACAUUUGACAGAUGGACAAAAAGGAGUGUCAUGAAAAGAGUAGCAGCAGUGAUGAAGAGCUGUUGAGACGGGACCAUGGAUCCAGUAGGAGUGUAGAUGCAUCAGAACUCAUAAGACAGCAGACAGUACUGGUUGACAAUAGCAUACAGAAACUGCGAGACACGAGAACUGGAAUUUUUUCUCAGGCUGAAGCCUGUGUGACAGAUGAUACGUAAGGGACAUCUGUUGGUUGGGGAAAAAUGAAAGAUUUGGAAUUUUGCUGCACUGGUUCAUGUACAUUCAUAAGAAGCAAAGACGUGUAGGUUAUUUGCAUAAAAAUUAGUAUAUAUGUUACUUUUCUUCUUUGUUAUCAUAAGUUUUUACUUCAAAAGAGUU